UACGUAGGGUGCGAGCGUUAAUCGGAAUUACUGGGCGUAAAGCGUGCGCAGGCGGUCCGCAAAGUCUGAUGUGAAAGCCCCGGGCUCAACCUGGGAAUGGCAUUGGAAACUGGCAAGCUCGAGUUUGGCAGAGGGGGGUGGAAUUCCGCGUGUAGCAGUGAAAUGCGUAGAGAUGCGGAGGAACACCGAUGGCGAAGGCAGCCCCCUGGGCUAAGACUGACGCUCAGGCACGAAAGCGUGGGGAGCAAACAGG
This 253-nucleotide ribosomal RNA is filed under the name uncultured bacterium. RNAcentral describes it as "partial 16S ribosomal RNA". It matches the Rfam family "Bacterial small subunit ribosomal RNA", at positions 524 to 776 of the family's 1533-position model. The record is from RNAcentral.